This is a long non-coding RNA of Xenia sp. Carnegie-2017, 308 nucleotides long. RefSeq lists it as uncharacterized. The record is from RefSeq and is a predicted model, not a curated record. The transcript is spliced from 2 exons. Lineage: Eukaryota; Metazoa; Cnidaria; Anthozoa; Malacalcyonacea; Xeniidae.
AGUAAAUUUUGCAAAAUAAAUUCAGUUUUUUUCCCGUUUGUUGCUGCAACUAGCAAAUUGCAAAUUUCAUUGUGUUACAAUCUAAUAUGUUUUCCAAACGAACUAUUUCAGAGAAAAUGAGUCAGCUGAAUUAUCCCCACAUUACCAGGCCUUGAGACUGGGUGACAGCGGAUUACAUUGUCGAACAACGUUGCGCGGUCAUACAGAUCUAGCGCAUGCUUCUUUGAAGCAGAGCAAAUCACUAUGCUAUCCGUUGAAUUGUUAUUUUUGUCUACACUAUCGAUAAAUAAAAUAGUUUUUGCAGCUUA